Molecule: ribosomal RNA, 706 nt
Filed under: uncultured Bacteroidales bacterium
Lineage: Bacteria; Pseudomonadati; Bacteroidota; Bacteroidia; Bacteroidales
Description: bacterial SSU rRNA
Rfam family: Bacterial small subunit ribosomal RNA
Source: RNAcentral
AGGCCUAACACAUGCAAGUCGAGGGGCAUCGGGAUUGAAGCUUGCUUCAAUUGCCGGCGACCGGCGCACGGGUGCGUAACGCGUAUGUAACCUACCUAUAACAGGGGCAUAACACUGAGAAAUUGGUACUAAUUCCCCAUAAUAUUCGGAGAGGCAUCUCUCCGGGUUGAAAACUCCGGUGGUUAUAGAUGGACAUGCGUUGUAUUAGCUAGUUGGUGAGGUAACGGCUCACCAAGGCAACGAUACAUAGGGGGACUGAGAGGUUAACCCCCCACACUGGUACUGAGACACGGACCAGACUCCUACGGGAGGCAGCAGUGAGGAAUAUUGGUCAAUGGACGCAAGUCUGAACCAGCCAUGCCGCGUGCAGGAAGACGGCUCUAUGAGUUGUAAACUGCUUUUGUACGAGGGUAAACUCACCUACGUGUAGGUGACUGAAAGUAUCGUACGAAUAAGGAUCGGCUAACUCCGUGCCAGCAGCCGCGGUAAUACGGAGGAUUCAAGCGUUAUCCGGAUUUAUUGGGUUUAAAGGGUGCGUAGGCGGUUUGAUAAGUUAGAGGUGAAAUCCCGGGGCUUAACUCCGGAACUGCCUCUAAUACUGUUAGACUAGAGAGUAGUUGCGGUAGGCGGAAUGUAUGGUGUAGCGGUGAAAUGCUUAGAGAUCAUACAGAACACCGAUUGCGAAGGCAGCUUACCAAACUAUAUC